RNAcentral lists this ribosomal RNA (342 nucleotides) under Clostridioides difficile. RNAcentral describes it as "bacterial SSU rRNA". It matches the Rfam family "Bacterial small subunit ribosomal RNA", at positions 1196 to 1533 of the family's 1533-position model. Lineage: Bacteria; Bacillati; Bacillota; Clostridia; Peptostreptococcales; Peptostreptococcaceae. The record is from RNAcentral.
UGCCCCUUAUGCUUAGGGCUACACACGUGCUACAAUGGGUAGUACAGAGGGUUGCCAAGCCGUAAGGUGGAGCUAAUCCCUUAAAGCUACUCUCAGUUCGGAUUGUAGGCUGAAACUCGCCUACAUGAAGCUGGAGUUACUAGUAAUCGCAGAUCAGAAUGCUGCGGUGAAUGCGUUCCCGGGUCUUGUACCCACCGCCCGUCACACCACGGGAGUUGGAGACGCCCGAAGCCGAUUAUCUAACCUUUUGGAAGAAGUCGUCGAAGGGGGAAUCAAUAACUGGGGUGAAGUCGUAACAAGGUAGCCGGAUCGGAAGGUGCGGCUGGAUCACCUCCCUUCUAU